This 754-nucleotide ribosomal RNA is filed under the name Subanguina moxae. Its description in RNAcentral is "eukaryotic LSU rRNA". It matches the Rfam family "Eukaryotic large subunit ribosomal RNA", at positions 373 to 964 of the family's 3401-position model. The record is from RNAcentral. Lineage: Eukaryota; Metazoa; Nematoda; Chromadorea; Rhabditida; Anguinidae.
ACCUUUGAGAGAGAGUAGAGGACGUGAAACCGAUAAGAUUGAAACGGAUAGAGCCGACGUAUCUAACCCGUAUUCAGCUGUGGGGUGGUGCUGGUUGAAUGGAUUGGUCCCGCUUUUGGCUGGUUCAUUCGUUUCUGGUACCGUCUAGCAGUGCAUUUACAGGUGGAGUGCGCUGAGAGGUACACUUCAGUGGUUGGAAAUCAGCCAAGAGGCCUUAACCUUCGGGUAAAGAAACCCAGGCUGGUGGAAGACUGUUUGUUGUGUAUGGCAAAAAAGAGUAUGGCCUACGAGUCGAUCGGCUUCUUGCUUUGCGGUGGAUAGUAGUCGCAUGCGACUGUUACCACCUGUAGGGCAGGCGGCUGGUGCUGAUUCUCAUGCUCGUUCUCGGUGUAAAAGUUGGUCAUCUAUCCGACCCGUCUUGAAACACGGACCAAGGAGUUUAGCGAAUGCGCAAGUCAUUGGGUGUUAAAAUCCAAAGGCGCAAUGAAAGUAAAGGUAUCCUUAUGGUGCUGAUAUGCGAUCCCGGGUAUUUCGGUGCCUGGGCGCAGCAUAGCCCCAUCCUAAUUGCUUGCAAUGGGGUGGAGGUAGAGCGUAUUCGCUGAGACCCGAAAGAUGGUGAACUAUGCCUGAGCAGGAUGAAGCCAGAGGAAACUCUGGUGGAAGUCCGAAGCGGUUCUGACGUGCAAAUCGAUCGUCUGACUUGGGUAUAGGGGCGAAAGACUAAUCGAACCGUCUAGUAGCUGGUUCCUUCCGA